This 492-nucleotide ribosomal RNA is filed under the name uncultured bacterium. RNAcentral's name for it is "partial 16S ribosomal RNA". It matches the Rfam family "Bacterial small subunit ribosomal RNA", at positions 29 to 507 of the family's 1533-position model. The record is from RNAcentral.
AGUGAACGCUGGCGGUAGGCCUAACACAUGCAAGUCGAACGGCACCACAGUAAGAGCUUGCUCUUACGGGUGGCGAGUGGCGGACGGGUGAGGAAUACAUCGGAAUCUACUUUUUCGUGGGGGAUAACGUAGGGAAACUUACGCUAAUACCGCAUACGACCUACGGGUGAAAGCAGGGGAUCUUCGGACCUUGCGCGAUUGAAUGAGCCGAGGUCGGAUUAGCUAGUUGGCGGGGUAAAGGCCCACCAAGGCGACGAUCCGUAGCUGGUCUGAGAGGAUGAUCAGCCACACUGGAACUGAGACACGGUCCAGACUCCUACGGGAGGCAGCAGUGGGGAAUAUUGGACAAUGGGCGCAAGCCUGAUCCAGCCAUACCGCGUGGGUGAAGAAGGCCUUCGGGUUGUAAAGCCCUUUUGUUGGGAAAGAAAAGCAGCAGGUUAAUACCCCGCUGUUCUGACGGUACCCAAAGAAUAAGCACCGGCUAACUUCGUG